RNAcentral lists this long non-coding RNA (466 nucleotides) under Nicotiana benthamiana. Its description in RNAcentral is "long non-coding RNA (NBEN_LNC027425)". The record is from RNAcentral. Lineage: Eukaryota; Viridiplantae; Streptophyta; Magnoliopsida; Solanales; Solanaceae.
CCCUCCCCAGGAUGUCUUCUUCUUCAUGAAGAAGUGAACAACAAACCCAAGAAAAGGAAGAGGAGGCAGCAACUACACAGUGAACAUGAGAGGAGAUACGCUGCUUCUUCUUCUCCAUGUUUCAUCACCAUUAGAGCUCUUCAGAUCUGUUUCUUCUUCAUAAGACAUCUUCAACCUAGCAUCCAUCACCUUGAAUCUCCAGAAAAUGAAUAACUCCGACCCCUAAAUCAGUUCUCGAUCUCCUCCAGAACCCUAGAGUAGCCUUCGUCAGUGUCGUACUAGACGACCACCCAACUCCACGCACACCAGAUACUCUACUCGCCGAAAAUGCCAUGAAAUCCAGUGAAACUGCAUGAAGACCGAUGAACUCUUUUGCUUCUACACUCUAUCAUAUGUGGUCGUUUCCACCUCGCAAGCCGACGCCGGAAAAGUUUUUGUGGUAACGGCGAACCCAGCAUGAAAAUCA